GCUUUAAAUAGAUACAAAAGAAUUGUGAGCCUGAUGAAUAUUUUCAUGAGUAUAAUUUUAAAUGCACACUAAAGAAUAUUGUGAAAAUACGCUUUCAAUAUUUUUUAACCACGUCUUCACUUGUACUCGUAAGUAAAUGAUUUGACAAUACUAAGGUGCUAUUAUCGAAAUUUUUAUUUAAUUAAAUGAACAAAGUGGUUACAGCUAUACAAACAAUGUUGAAAAAUGAAAAUGUAAUAAAAACA
Melanaphis sacchari is the source of this 245-nucleotide long non-coding RNA. RefSeq lists it as uncharacterized. NCBI's taxonomy places the organism in Eukaryota, Metazoa, Arthropoda, Insecta, Hemiptera, Aphididae. The transcript is spliced from 3 exons. The record is from RefSeq and is a predicted model, not a curated record.